CAAUAGCGUAUAUUAAAGUUGUUGCGGUUAAAAAGCUCGUAGUUGGAUUUCUGCUGAGAACGACCGGUCCGCCCUUUGGGUGUGUAUCUGGCUCUUUCUUGGCAUCUUCUUGGUGAACGUUGCUGCACUUGACUGUGUGGAGCGCUACCCAGGACUUUUACUUUGAGGAAAUUAGAGUGUUUCAAGCAGGCAUACGCCUUGAAUACAUUAGCAUGGAAUAAUAAGAUAGGACCUCGGUUCUAUUUUGUUGGUUUCUAGAGCUGAGGUAAUGAUUAAUAGGGAUAGUUGGGGGCAUUCGUAUUUAACUGUCAGAGGUGAAAUUCUUGGAUUUGUUAAAAACGGACUACUGCGAAAGCAUUUGCCAAGGAUGUUUUCAUUGA
This 380-nucleotide ribosomal RNA is filed under the name uncultured eukaryote. Its description in RNAcentral is "partial 18S ribosomal RNA". It matches the Rfam family "Eukaryotic small subunit ribosomal RNA", at positions 592 to 976 of the family's 1831-position model. The record is from RNAcentral.